GCCUGGGUGGCUCAGUCGGUUGAGCAUCUAACUUCAGCUCAGGUCAUGAUCUCAUGGUUUGUGGGUUCGAGCCCCACGUCAGGCU
Molecule: transfer RNA, 85 nt
Filed under: Felis catus (domestic cat)
Lineage: Eukaryota; Metazoa; Chordata; Mammalia; Carnivora; Felidae
Description: tRNA-Sup (TCA) (tRNA-Sup-TCA-12-1)
Rfam family: tRNA
About the family: Transfer RNA (tRNA) molecules are approximately 80 nucleotides in length. Their secondary structure includes four short double-helical elements and three loops (D, anti-codon, and T loops).
Source: Rfam by way of RNAcentral